AUCACUUUUAGUGGUUGACCAUGUUUUUGC
Molecule: non-coding RNA, 30 nt
Filed under: Rattus norvegicus (Norway rat)
Lineage: Eukaryota; Metazoa; Chordata; Mammalia; Rodentia; Muridae
Source: RNAcentral